UGCUGGAGGUAUCAGAAGUGCGAAUGCUGACAUAAGUAACGAUAAAGCGGGUGAAAAGCCCGCUCGCCGGAAGACCAAGGGUUCCUGUCCAACGUUAAUCGGGGCAGGGUGAGUCGACCCCUAAGGCGAGGCCGAAAGGCGUAGUCGAUGGGAAACGGGUUAAUAUUCCCGUACUUGGUGUUACUGCGAAGGGGGGACGGAGAAGGCUAUGUUGGCCGGGCGACGGUUGUCCCGGUUUAAGCGUGUAGGUGUGUGUUCCAGGUAAAUCCGGUUCACUUUAACACUGAGGCGUGACGACGAGGCACUACGGUGCUGAAGCAACAAAUGCCCUGCUUCCAGGAAAAGCCUCUAAGCAUCAGGUAACACGAAAUCGUACCCCAAACCGACACAGGUGGUCAGGUAGAGAAUACCAAGGCGCUUGAGAGAACUCGGGUGAAGGAACUAGGCAAAAUGGUGCCGUAACUUCGGGAGAAGGCACGCUGACACGUAGGUGAAGUGAUUUACUCACGGAGCUGAAGUCAGUCGAAGAUACCAGCUGGCUGCAACUGUUUAUUAAAAACACAGCACUGUGCAAACACGAAAGUGGACGUAUACGGUGUGACGCCUGCCCGGUGCCGGAAGGUUAAUUGAUGGGGUCAGCGUAAGCGAAGCUCCUGAUCGAAGCCCCGGUAAACGGCGGCCGUAACUAUAACGGUCCUAAGGUAGCGAAAUUCCUUGUCGGGUAAGUUCCGACCUGCACGAAUGGCGUAAUGAUGGCCAGGCUGUCUCCACCCGAGACUCAGUGAAAUUGAACUCGCUGUGAAGAUGCAGUGUACCCGCGGCAAGACGGAAAGACCCCGUGAACCUUUACUAUAGCUUGACACUGAACAUUGAGCCUUGAUGUGUAGGAUAGGUGGGAGGCUUUGAAGUGUGGACGCCAGUCUGCAUGGAGCCGACCUUGAAAUACCACCCUUUAAUGUUUGAUGUUCUAACGUGGACCCGUAAUCCGGGUUGCGGACAGUGUCUGGUGGGUAGUUUGACUGGGGCGGUCUCCUCCUAAAGAGUAACGGAGGAGCACGAAGGUUGGCUAAUCCUGGUCGGACAUCAGGAGGUUAGUGCAAUGGCAUAAGCCAGCUUGACUGCGAGCGUGACGGCGCGAGCAGGUGCGAAAGCAGGUCAUAGUGAUCCGGUGGUUCUGAAUGGAAGGGCCAUCGCUCAACGGAUAAAAGGUACUCCGGGGAUAACAGGCUGAUACCGCCCAAGAGUUCAUAUCGACGGCGGUGUUUGGCACCUCGAUGUCGGCUCAUCACAUCCUGGGGCUGAAGUAGGUCCCAAGGGUAUGGCUGUUCGCCAUUUAAAGUGGUACGCGAGCUGGGUUUAGAACGUCGUGAGACAGUUCGGUCCCUAUCUGCCGUGGGCGCUGGAGAACUGAGGGGGGCUGCUCCUAGUACGAGAGGACCGGAGUGGACGCAUCACUGGUGUUCGGGUUGUCAUGCCAAUGGCACUGCCCGGUAGCUAAAUGCGGAAGAGAUAAGUGCUGAAAGCAUCUAAGCACGAAACUUGCCCCGAGAUGAGUUCU
Molecule: ribosomal RNA, 1558 nt
Filed under: Salmonella enterica
Lineage: Bacteria; Pseudomonadati; Pseudomonadota; Gammaproteobacteria; Enterobacterales; Enterobacteriaceae
Description: bacterial LSU rRNA
Rfam family: Bacterial large subunit ribosomal RNA
Source: RNAcentral